UGUUGGUUCUCCCGCAACGCUAACUUGUCAACUUGGUCAGGUCCGGAAGGAAGCAGCCAUGGCCGGUGUCGUGUGUGCCGGGAUGUAGCUGGCAGGG
This is a signal recognition particle RNA of 97 nucleotides. It matches the Rfam family "Bacterial small signal recognition particle RNA". From Rfam's summary of the family: The signal recognition particle (SRP) is a universally conserved ribonucleoprotein involved in the co-translational targeting of proteins to membranes. Archaeal SRP consists of a 7S RNA and homologues of the eukaryotic SRP19 and SRP54 proteins.